This 497-nucleotide ribosomal RNA is filed under the name uncultured bacterium. Its description in RNAcentral is "partial 16S ribosomal RNA". It matches the Rfam family "Bacterial small subunit ribosomal RNA", at positions 28 to 507 of the family's 1533-position model. The record is from RNAcentral.
GUUGAACGCUGGCGGCGUGCCUAAUACAUGCAAGUCGAGCGACCGGACGAGUAGUUUGAUUCUCUGAUGUUUGCGGCGGACGGGUGAGUAACAUGUGGAUAACUCAUCUAUAAGACUGGGAUAACUCCGGGAAACCGGUGCUAACACAGGCUAAUAUCUUGAACCGCCUGGUUCCAUAGUGAAAGACCGUCUUGCUGUUACCUAUUGAUGGAUCCGCGCUGCAUUAGCUAGUUGGUAGGGUAACGGCUUACCAAGGCAACGAUGAGUAGCCGACCUGAGAGGAUGAUCGGCCACACUGGAACUGAGACACGGUCCAGACUCCUACGGGAGGCAGCAGUGGGGAAUCUUCCGCAAUGGGCGAAAGCCUGACGGAGCAACGCCGCGUGUGUGAAGAAGGUCUUCGGGUCGUAAAACUCUGUUAUUAGGGAAGAACAUAUGUGUAAGAAACUGUGCACAGCAUGACGGUACCGAAACAAAAAGCCACGGCUAACUACGUG